UUUGAUGUGGCAGAAUUUAUGCGUGAAAUUUAAAAUUUUAUUAUGAGAUUAUUUUUCUUUCAAAU
This 65-nucleotide transfer RNA is filed under the name Parasacculina shiinoi. RNAcentral's name for it is "tRNA-Leu". The record is from RNAcentral. Lineage: Eukaryota; Metazoa; Arthropoda; Thecostraca; Polyascidae.